CCCGGGCUGAGCAGCUGCUCCCUGGUUCUCCACGUGCUGCCAGCAGCGCUGGAGCUGCCCGAGCCGGAGCGGAGCCGCUGUUCUCAGCUGCAGCCAGGACCUGCCCCCGGCCCCGCUGGGAUCCAGGGGCCGGUGACCUUCAAGGAGAUGGCUAUGUAUUUCACCAGGGAAGAGUGGGCUCUGCUGGACCCCACUCAGAGAGCCCUCUACUGGGAUGUCAUGCAGGAGAACUAUGAGACUGUGACCUCGCUGGGCCAGAGAAUAACAUCCAUGUUUCGCUGCAGAUCAUCUCGUCCUCCCAGGGGCAAGGAAAUGGCUGCAAUGGAGCUGGCUCAGAGUUUCUGGUUUUCCAACGUGAUAUGAUCUCCCAGCUGGAACAAGGGGAAGAGCCAUGGGUCCCAGAGCUCCAGGGUUCAGAGGAAAGAGAGAUCCUGAGAUCUCCCCGCACAGAUGAGGAAACAUUAAACCAACUCAGAAUCUGUAAGUGCCUGAAGGAAACAUCUAGGAUGCCCUACAAAGCUCUUGGGAAGUCUCUCAGUUCAUUAUUGUCCAUAGCAGGGGUCGCAUCAGCAGGGUAAAUAUAGCUCAAGGCUUCCUAUAGAUGCUAGCAGACACCGGGCAGUAGCUUUCUCCCUUCCCCCUGUGAAGUUGGAUGGGAUGUGAAGGCUGAAUUGAUCCCCUCCUCUCUCCUGUUGGGAGGAGCUGAGUUCCUGAUUUUUAUUUGACCUCUCUCCAGCACUUGUUUUGGUUUGGCCUUCCCCUUUCCAUCCCUGUUUGAGGUUUCUGUUUCUAUCACAGCAGGUGAUGCAAUGACGUGUGAGGUUCAGCACAGACCAGAAAAAGAGCAGGGAAACCAGCCAGGGGAGAAAAUGGAUAAAUUUAUUUCCUGUCAGGGAACUCAGAAGGGCCUUAAGGAAACCAGAAUACAGCAGGAAAUCUGCAGGGAAAAGCAAAAAAAAUACAUGUGCUGAGUGCGGGAAAAACUUCACUUACAGAUCAGGCCUUUCUCAACAUCAGAGAAUCCACACAGGGGAGAGGCCCUGUGAAUGCCAUGAGUGCGGGAAAACUUUCAGUCACAGCUCGCACCUUAUUGGGCAUCAGAGAAUCCACACGAGCGAGAAGCCCCGCAAAUGCCGUCAGCAGGCCUGCACAACUCGUAAAGCGGUGAUGUAGAGAAAUCUCUGUAUUAACUAUCUCUAUAAAUCUUUAUAACGUUGCAUUGUGUUAUUUUGUAUUAAGUAUCUUUCUGUAUUAAGUAUCUUUAUGACAUUGCAUCCGGCAUGAUGUUAUUGUGUAAUUCAUAUGACUUGGCAUUGUGCCUCUCUAUUUUCAUACAACUUUGUAUUAGAUCCCUAUGUAGAAAAUUGGUAGAAAACUUUGUAUCAAAUGUUAUAGCCCCUAAGGAUAGUAUAGUUAAAGUAAAAGAAAACAUGUGCCUUUUUGCUAGAAGUAGAAUAAGAUUUUCCCCCGCACUCUGUAAUCAAUUGCUCUAUUGACUGAAUGAGGUGUGAAUGAGUGAGGCUUGGAAGACACCCACCUCCAGACAGCUACAACAGUUGAAGAGGGAAUGGGAGCCAGAGCAAAGGACAAUACAACUUGUCAAGUGGGCCCAAUAAAGAAGAGCAGACAUAUUGAUGGCCUCAGGGAUUAGAAGCAAGCACCUUCUUUAGAAAACACCCUCUUUGAGCAGCAUUGGGACAACACCCAGAGAAAAGCAGCACAAAGACCAACGGAUGCAGACCCAGAUUUUGAAUCUGGUCUAGAUUUGCAUAAGAGGGAAGCUGCUAUAAAUGCGAGGUGUCUUGCAGAAGGACCCCGGAUCUCGUCUUGUCACCAUCGGACCAUCGAUUUGGAUCGGUAGAAGCCCGGCUCCACCCCUCCCCCAUCUAACUCACCUGGCCAGUGCAGUUAAGGGGAGCAACUAGUUGGUAACAACAGCAAGAUGGAGUGUGUUUAUGUCUGUGUGUGUGCGUGAAUGCAUGACUGUGAUAUAUAUCUCAUGUGCAUAUCAUAGAGUAUUAAUUGAUACCUGUAUUACUAAUAAAUGUGGCAUUUUGCCUUAAUCCCCCUGAAAAGUUCCUGUACAGUACUUUGAGUACAACAGCGAGGGCCACAAUACUCCAAAGAAAACAGCUGAGGACCGAAACCCCCCGGCCCUGCGGAAACACCCCCCACUCAGGACCUCCCGGCCUGGCGGAAACACCCCGCCCAGCCCUGCAGAAACAAACCCUCCUUCCCCAGCGCCGCCCCACCAAAACAGCUGUGGGUCAAAAAGGAAGGUUGGUGGUGGGGAGGUGUUACUUGAUGUUAAAUCAACCAGGGACUCCCAGCCAAAGAGGU
Molecule: long non-coding RNA, 2340 nt
Organism: Gopherus flavomarginatus (Mexican gopher tortoise)
Lineage: Eukaryota; Metazoa; Chordata; Testudines; Testudinidae
Exons: 4
Source: RefSeq, a predicted model, not a curated record